RNAcentral lists this ribosomal RNA (253 nucleotides) under uncultured bacterium. RNAcentral's name for it is "partial 16S ribosomal RNA". It matches the Rfam family "Bacterial small subunit ribosomal RNA", at positions 524 to 776 of the family's 1533-position model. The record is from RNAcentral.
UACGGAGGGUGCGAGCGUUGUUCGGAAUCACUGGGCGUAAAGCGCGUGUAGGCGGCCCACUAAGUCUGAUGUGAAAGCCCGGGGCUCACCCCCGGAAGUGCAUUGGAAACUGGUGGACUCGAGUCCCGGAGAGGAGAGUGGAAUUCCUGGUGUAGCGGUGAAAUGCGUAGAUAUCUGGAGGAACACCGGUGGCGAAGGCGGCAUCCUGGACCGGUAUUGACGCUGAGGCGCGAAAGCUAGGGGAGCAAACGGG